GAUAAUAUUUAGAGCUUCUAAGCAAUAAUGUACAUUCUCUUUUGCUACUUACUGCAUACAAUGAAUGUCUGCUGAUCUAAAAAGCUUUAUUGCUUUCAAAGAUAAGAUGUACGAGCUGGAACACAGAGCCUGAAAGUCACUUUGCUGAAGUCUCAUGGAGCAAUGGACUGAUAAAGAUGUGAGAUGAAGACCUGAUCUGACUGACAGAUUAAAUGAUUUUGACCCAUCUAAUGCUCAAAACAACURCACAUAAUUGAAAAUAUCUUUUCUAAUCAAAAGUCUUUGAGAGAAAAUUAGUCUUUCCUUCUUUUUGUUUUGUGCUUGACAGAAAGAAUUAGCAAUUUGGUGGAAUCAUCUGGUUCUCUGGGAGGAAUGGACAGAUGGAUGAAUGCAUGGACAUCUCUACCCAGGGAAACUGAUCCAGCGUUGUGUGGAACUUACUUGAGAACAUACUUCCCUCUGAACACAGGCAUGGACCUAAGUGCCUUCAGUAAUGGGAAAAUGUUGCUCCACUUCUAAAAGUAAAGACUGUGCCACUGAAGUAGAAUACAGCCUAUCACUUGGCCUUUCUGAACUCCACUGACUUUGAUKGAACUCCACUUAAUUUUGCUAAGAGCAUUUAUAGCUGUUAGCAUUCAUAUUCUUAGCACAGUCCCUGUAGCUGCACUUCCAUCAUUGUCUUCUGCACCUGUCAUCUCUCUUUCAGCAGUAAGUGCUUUCAGGGGAGUUAUGCUGAAGAGAUGAUGCUACCAUUGCAAACAAGGGGCAUCUGACAAGGAUGCUGCUACAGCCAAAUGAUCAUUUUUCUACUCUGCUUUGUUCAAAUCUAUUUCUUGUCAUCCUUAGUGUGGAGCUGUACACAUCUCUGCCCCUCCUCUGUCCUAGCAAAGGGCUGUAGUAUGAGUCAGGAUUACUGUGACAAUGUGAGACAACUCAAGUUAUUGAAUUCAGGUUAUUCAAGUUAUACUCUUGAGUCCUGACCUUGGGUAGACAGCAAAGUUUUAUUCAGACUGAAGGGGGCGGGGGGGGGAAGAAUUAAUAAUUAGCCUAACUUUUCAGCAUUUACUAUCUGUGGUGACCUGAAGCAUCUCCCCAUUGUCUCAGGAACUCCCACCAGUGCCUCUCUCCUGGGAAAUCUCAGAAACUCUCUGAAUACUGUGCUCUGCUGCUCRCUGCCCUGUUGAGCAGGCAAUUCCUAGUAUCUUACCAGGCCAAAUCAGUAAAGAGGCUACAGAAAUUGUAGGCAGGCUGCAGUGUUGUGUGUGUUUGUGGUUUUUUUUUUUUUUAAACUGUAAAAUACAGUGGUGGUGUUUUGCCAAAAUGUCCCUGCUGGACAUGACGAACUUGGACUAAAAYAGUGUAACAACACAGUGCUGAUAGUUUAUUUAGAGCUCAUCAUAUACAGUAUCCAUAGAACAAUUCUCAUUCAUAAUGUAUUCUA
Molecule: long non-coding RNA, 1441 nt
Organism: Nothoprocta perdicaria
Lineage: Eukaryota; Metazoa; Chordata; Aves; Tinamiformes; Tinamidae
Exons: 3
Source: RefSeq, a predicted model, not a curated record